This 424-nucleotide ribosomal RNA is filed under the name uncultured bacterium. RNAcentral's name for it is "bacterial SSU rRNA". It matches the Rfam family "Bacterial small subunit ribosomal RNA", at positions 358 to 774 of the family's 1533-position model. The record is from RNAcentral.
UGAAUCUUCCACAAUGGACGAAAGUCUGAUGGAGCAACGCCGCGUGAGUGAUGAAGGGUUUCGGCUCGUAAAACUCUGUUGUUGGAGAAGAACAGGUGUCAGAGUAACUGUUGACAUCUUGACGGUAUCCAACCAGAAAGCCACGGCUAACUACGUGCCAGCAGCCGCGGUAAUACGUAGGUGGCAAGCGUUGUCCGGAUUUAUUGGGCGUAAAGCGAGCGCAGGCGGUUUUUUAGGUCUGAUGUGAAAGCCCGGAGCUCAACUCCGGAAUGGCAUUGGAAACUGGUUAACUUGAGUGCAGUAGAGGUAAGUGGAACUCCAUGUGUAGCGGUGGAAUGCGUAGAUAUAUGGAAGAACACCAGUGGCGAAGGCGGCUUACUGGACUGUAACUGACGUUGAGGCUCGAAAGUGUGGGUAGCAAACA